Molecule: RNA transcript, 2089 nt
Organism: Vicia villosa (hairy vetch)
Lineage: Eukaryota; Viridiplantae; Streptophyta; Magnoliopsida; Fabales; Fabaceae
Exons: 3
Source: RefSeq, a predicted model, not a curated record
CUAAUCGUGUUUCAAUCUGAAGCUCUGUUUCUCUCUUCUCUUGUCAUGAAUCGCCUCCAUCCACAUGAAGGUUGCACUGAAUCUCUCUCUAUCCACCCUCGCGAGUCCUCCCGUCGAAUGCUCCUGCAUCUUCGUGUAUCAAUGCCGUUUUGGUUCGAGUUUGGAGGUUUCAACUCAGUUUAGAGUUUGGAUUCGAGCAGUUUUUUCACAGGAGAAUAACUGGUCCUAUAAGGCGUGCCAAGGGUGGCUGGACAGCAGAUGAGGUUAGUCUUUGCUUAUUGACAACAUCUAGAUAUGGUCUUCCUUGUUAGCAAAGCUGAUUGAAUUGAGAAUUCAGUUCAUUUGAUUUAAUGUUUGUGAAAUUUGCAAAAAGGGUAACUGGAUGAUUACAGUUAGAACCAGAGGCGUAAUGUUCAAUUAAAUAUUUCUCUGAUAUUAGCAAAACUUAAUCAUGGACCAUACCUUUGCAUGGCAGUCUUCAUCUGGAUUACUUUCGAUUCUGCAUCCAAAGCUUGCUUCAACCUUUCUUCACUAACUUUAGUUUCCUCUUCAUACCUUUUUUCAGUUUCAUCAAUUUUCUUUUCCAGUGAACUCACCAAAUUCUGUAAAAAAUUCCAUAAAGCAUUAUAUUAGUAAUACAAUGCGACAACCUAUCUUAUGCUAAAAUAUCUGAAGCAUACCAUCAAAAUACUAAUACUGUGACAACUUGGUAUUAGUGUCCACAAUAAUCUGGUUAAAUAAUUCUGUUCUGUCAACUUCAAUUUGAAAAUGCUGCUUGGAAAAGUUUCAAGUGACUCACAGUAAUUAAGGUGUAAUUUGAGAAGUUUGCUGAGAUUUCCAAUGGAAGAUGGAAUAGUCUUAAGCUUUCUGCAACCUCGCAAAGUCAAUUCUUCAAGCCCGACCAAAUGAUGCAACGAUGAAGGUAGUUCUUUAAUUGCUGUACCGUUUAAGUGAAGCGCUAUUAAGUUUUCUAUAGAACCACUGAGACGAAAUCUUGUUAGAAACUUCAAAUUGAAGAAUUCAGUUGGUAGGCAUGUUAGGGACUCACAUUCCAAAAUAUCUAAGCAACAAAGCUCGUUGAAAUUUGGAAACAUCCUUUUAUAUAUGUCACCCAAAAACCCGUAGCCUCCCGCAAAAUACCUAGCUCUUUGGUUUGUCCUCUAUAAUUUGAUUUUGUAGAAUGGAUACGCAUUGAUUUGUGCUUUUAUGAUGACAAUCUGUUUCGUUUCUUCUUUUUGUCUGUCAGAUUCUUGAAGCACUUACAACUUUAAGAUCAUGUGAAAAGUUUUCUAUGGAACGUAUUGAGUUGCUGGGAGAUUCUGUUUUGAUAAUCUGUUUCAUUUCUUCUUUUUGUCUGAUAGAAGAAAUGUUUGGAGGAGACGACGAAGAUGAUGAUGGUGAUGAUUCUUCUGUGUUUCUCAUGAGAAUAAGAGGAAACAUGAUGAGAAGAAGAGUGAAAGGAAGGCAACCAAGGGUGGCAAAAAGGUAAUUGCUCGAAGAGUAGCCAAGGGUCGGUUUAGGAUUACAGCUUAGUGUCAUUGACUUAAAGUUAACGAUUCAAUGUAGCACCUUAGUGCACUUCAUGAUAAGAAACCUCAGUGGAACAGGGCGAACAGGCUGGGGGGUUUCUGAGUACAGUAUUCUAUAAACCAUUUUCCAGGCAGCUAUUGUAUGGAUAUGUUAUGAAUUCAUUUAUUGGCUUUUUGGCAUCGCGGUCAGUUUCAAUAAUAUGUAACCCUUACUGUUUUAUGUCCAAGACACCUUAAAGGUUUAGGUGUGGUUGAUUUAUUAAAUGUGAAGUUUGAUAGAAUGGAAUUUCUUAUUUUAAGCCAUGUCCAUUCACAUUUCUUAUAUUUAGUAUUAGUAGAUUUUUUAGAGGUAAAAUGUGGUUCAUGCCAAUUCUCCUAUUGAAGAAGGAUGACUUGAAUGUACAAGGAAAUGCAAAUUAAAGAUGUGAUUUGUGAUCCCCAUUUUAAAUUCUUAGAGAUAAUUUUAAUAAAAAAAUAUAUAUAUUUGGUUAACAGAUAAAUAAAUUUUAGAACUAAUUUAUCUUUUUAUCUUUAAGAUCUUAUUUUAAGUUACAUUACUU